This 908-nucleotide ribosomal RNA is filed under the name uncultured bacterium. RNAcentral describes it as "bacterial SSU rRNA". It matches the Rfam family "Bacterial small subunit ribosomal RNA", at positions 23 to 921 of the family's 1533-position model. The record is from RNAcentral.
CUCAGGAUGAACGCUAGCUACAGGCUUAACACAUGCAAGUCGAGGGGAAACGAUAGAGAAAGCUUGCUUUUUCUAGGCGUCGACCGGCGCACGGGUGAGUAACGCGUAUCCAACCUGCCCAUCACUUGGGGAUAACCUUGCGAAAGUAAGACUAAUACCCAAUGACGUCCAUAGAAGACAUCUGAAAUGGAUUAAAGAUUUAUCGGUGAUGGAUGGGGAUGCGUCUGAUUAGCUUGUUGGCGGGGUAACGGCCCACCAAGGCGACGAUCAGUAGGGGUUCUGAGAGGAAGGUCCCCCACAUUGGAACUGAGACACGGUCCAAACUCCUACGGGAGGCAGCAGUGAGGAAUAUUGGUCAAUGGACGAGAGUCUGAACCAGCCAAGUAGCGUGCAGGAUGACGGCCCUAUGGGUUGUAAACUGCUUUUAUAAGGGAAUAAAGUGAGUCUCGUGAGGCUUUUUGCAUGUACCUUAUGAAUAAGGACCGGCUAAUUCCGUGCCAGCAGCCGCGGUAAUACGGAAGGUCCGGGCGUUAUCCGGAUUUAUUGGGUUUAAAGGGAGCGUAGGCCGGAGAUUAAGCGUGUUGUGAAAUGUAGAUGCUCAACAUCUGAACUGCAGCGCGAACUGGUUUCCUUGAGUACGCACAAAGUGGGCGGAAUUCGUGGUGUAGCGGUGAAAUGCUUAGAUAUCACGAAGAACUCCGAUUGCGAAGGCAGCUCACUGGAGCGCAACUGACGCUGAAGCUCGAAAGUGCGGGUAUCGAACAGGAUUAGAUACCCUGGUAGUCCGCACGGUAAACGAUGGAUGCCCGCUGUUGGUCUGAAUAGGUCAGCGGCCAAGCGAAAGCAUUAAGCAUCCCACCUGGGGAGUACGCCGGCAACGGUGAAACUCAAAGGAAUUGACGGAAGGG